This 1050-nucleotide ribosomal RNA is filed under the name uncultured bacterium. RNAcentral's name for it is "bacterial SSU rRNA". It matches the Rfam family "Bacterial small subunit ribosomal RNA", at positions 26 to 1038 of the family's 1533-position model. The record is from RNAcentral.
GGAAAAAGGGGGGGCCGGCUACACAUGCAAGUCGAGCGGAAACGAGUUAACUGAACCUUCGGGGAACGUUAACGGCGUCGAGCGGCGGACGGGUGAGUAAUGCCUGGGAAAUUGCCCUGAUGUGGGGGAUAACCAUUGGAAACGAUGGCUAAUACCGCAUAAUAGCCCGGUUCUUCGGAAUGGGUCUCAAAGAGGGGGACCUUUUAGGCCUCUCGCGUCAGGAUAUGCCCAGGUGGGAUUAGCUAGUUGGUGAGGUAAUGGCUCACCAAGGCGACGAUCCCUAGCUGGUCUGAGAGGAUGAUCAGCCACACUGGAACUGAGACACGGUCCAGACUCCUACGGGAGGCAGCAGUGGGGAAUAUUGCACAAUGGGCGCAAGCCUGAUGCAGCCAUGCCGCGUGUAUGAAGAAGGCCUUCGGGUUGUAAAGUACUUUCAGCAGUGAGGAAGGUGGGUAUGUUAAUAGCAUACACAUUUGACGUUAGCUGCAGAAGAAGCACCGGCUAACUCCGUGCCAGCAGCCGCGGUAAUACGGAGGGUGCGAGCGUUAAUCGGAAUUACUGGGCGUAAAGCGCAUGCAGGUGGUUUGUUAAGUCAGAUGUGAAAGCCCGGGGCUCAACCUCGGAAUUGCAUCUGAAACUGGCAAACUAGAGUACUGUAGAGGGGGGUAGAAUUUCAGGUGUAGCGGUGAAAUGCGUAGAGAUCUGAAGGAAUACCGGUGGCGAAGGCGGCCCCCUGGACAGAUACUGACACUCAGAUGCGAAAGCGUGGGGAGCAAACAGGAUUAGAUACCCUGGUAGUCCACGCCGUAAACGAUGUCUACUUGGAGGUUGUGGCCUUGAGCCGUGGCUUUCGGAGCUAACGCGUUAAGUAGACCGCCUGGGGAGUACGGUCGCAAGAUUAAAACUCAAAUGAAUUGACGGGGGCCCGCACAAGCGGGUGUAGCAUGUGGUUUAAUUCGAUGCAACGCCGAAGAACCUUACCUACUCUUUGACAUCUACCGGAAGCCAGCGGAAAACGCAGGUGUGCCUUCGGGAAACUGUAAAGACAGG